UACAGAGGUCUCGAGCGUUGUUCGGAUUCAUUGGGCGUAAAGGGCGCGUAGGCGGCGGGGUAAGUCUGGUGUGAAAUCUCGGAGCUCAACUCCGAAACUGCACUGGAUACUGCUCUGCUAGAGGGCUGGAGAGGAGAUCGGAAUUCACGGUGUAGCAGUGAAAUGCGUAGAUAUCGUGAGGAAGACCAGUGGCGAAGGCGGAUCUCUGGGACGGUACUGACGCUGAGACGCGAAAGCGUGGGGAGCGAACAGG
This 253-nucleotide ribosomal RNA is filed under the name uncultured bacterium. RNAcentral's name for it is "partial 16S ribosomal RNA". It matches the Rfam family "Bacterial small subunit ribosomal RNA", at positions 524 to 776 of the family's 1533-position model. The record is from RNAcentral.